CUCGGAGUUUGAUCCUGGCUCAGGAUGAACGCUAGCGGCAGGCUUAACACAUGCAAGUCGAGGGGUAUAGUUCUUCGGAGCUAGAGACCGGCGCACGGGUGCGUAACGCGUAUGCAAUCUACCUUUUACAGAGGGAUAGCCCAGAGAAAUUUGGAUUAAUACCUCAUAGUAUGUGAGAAUCGCAUGGUUUUUCACAUUAAAGUCACAACGGUAAAAGAUGAGCAUGCGUCCCAUUAGCUUGUUGGUAAGGUAACGGCUUACCAAGGCAACGAUGGGUAGGGGUCCUGAGAGGGAGAUCCCCCGACACGUGGUACUGAGACACGGACCAGACUCCGUACGGGGAGGCAGCAGUGAGGAAUAUUGGACAGUGGGCGCAAGCCUGAUCCCAGCCCAUGCCGCGUGCAGGA
This 407-nucleotide ribosomal RNA is filed under the name uncultured Flavobacterium sp. RNAcentral's name for it is "bacterial SSU rRNA". It matches the Rfam family "Bacterial small subunit ribosomal RNA", at positions 1 to 408 of the family's 1533-position model. Lineage: Bacteria; Pseudomonadati; Bacteroidota; Flavobacteriia; Flavobacteriales; Flavobacteriaceae. The record is from RNAcentral.